AACGAACGCUGGCGGCAUGCCUAACACAUGCAAGUCGAACGAGACCUUCGGGUCUAGUGGCGCACGGGUGCGUAACGCGUGGGAACCUGCCCUUAGGUUCGGAAUAACUCCCCGAAAGGGGUGCUAAUACCGGAUAAUGUCUUCGGACCAAAGAUUUAUCGCCUUUGGAUGGGCCCGCGUUGGAUUAGCUAGUUGGUAGGGUAAAAGCCUACCAAGGCGACGAUCCAUAGCUGGUCUGAGAGGAUGAUCAGCCACACUGGGGCGGAGACACGGCCCAGACUACUCCGGGAGGGAGCAGUGGGGAGGGUUGUAUGAUGGGCGGAAGCAUGAUGUAGCAACGCAGCGUGCGGGAUGACGGAAGGCGGUUGGUAUAGAACUUUCUCUUGUGACGAGGCGUGAGUGACGGUACGGGGUAAAGAAGCGCCGGCUAACUACGUG
This 438-nucleotide ribosomal RNA is filed under the name uncultured bacterium. RNAcentral's name for it is "partial 16S ribosomal RNA". It matches the Rfam family "Bacterial small subunit ribosomal RNA", at positions 29 to 507 of the family's 1533-position model. The record is from RNAcentral.